GACGAACGCUGGCGGCGUGCUUAACACAUGCAAGUCGAACGGAAAGGCCCUGCUUUUGUGGGGUGCUCGAGUGGCGAACGGGUGAGUAACACGUGAGUAACCUGCCCUUGACUUUGGGAUAACUUCAGGAAACUGGGGCUAAUACCGGAUAGGAGCUCCUGCUGCAUGGUGGGGGUUGGAGAGUUUCGGCGGUUGGGGAUGGACUCGCGGCUUAUCAGCUUGUUGGUGGGGUAGUGGCUUACCAAGGCUUUGACGGGUAGCCGGCCUGAGAGGGUGACCGGCAAAAUUGGGACUGAGAUACGGCCCAGACUCCUACGGGAGGAAGCAGUGGGGAAUAUUGCACAAUGGGCGGAAGCCUGAUGCAGCAACGCCGCGUGCGGGAUGACGGCCUUCGGGUUGUAACCCGCUUUCGCCUGUGACGAAGCGUGAGUGACGGUAAUGGGUAAAGAAGCACCGGCUAACUACGUG
RNAcentral lists this ribosomal RNA (468 nucleotides) under uncultured bacterium. RNAcentral describes it as "partial 16S ribosomal RNA". It matches the Rfam family "Bacterial small subunit ribosomal RNA", at positions 28 to 507 of the family's 1533-position model. The record is from RNAcentral.